RNAcentral lists this ribosomal RNA (555 nucleotides) under uncultured Glomeromycotina. RNAcentral's name for it is "SSU rRNA". It matches the Rfam family "Eukaryotic small subunit ribosomal RNA", at positions 548 to 1098 of the family's 1831-position model. The record is from RNAcentral. Lineage: Eukaryota; Fungi; Glomeromycota.
UUGGAGGGCAAGUCUGGUGCCAGCAGCCGCGGUAAUUCCAGCUCCAAUAGCGUAUAUUAAAGUUGUUGCAGUUAAAAAGCUCGUAGUUGAAUUUCGGGAUUGACACAUCGGUCGUGCCUUAAGGGGUAUGAACUGGUGUAGUCAAUUCCUCACCUUCUGGAGAACCGCGAUGCCCUUAAUUGGGUGUCGCGGGGAACCAGGACCUUUACUUUGAAAAAAUUAGAGUGUUUAAAGCAGGCAUUUUGCUUGAAUACAUUAGCAUGGAAUAAUAAAAUAGGACGGCAUGAUUCUAUUUUGUUGGUUUCUAGGAUCACCGUAAUGAUUAAUAGGGAUAGUUGGGGGCAUUAGUAUUCAAUUGUCAGAGGUGAAAUUCUUGGAUUUAUUGAAGACUAACUACUGCGAAAGCAUUUGCCAAGGAUGUUUUCAUUAAUCAAGAACGAAAGUCAGGGGAUCGAAGACGAUCAGAUACCGUCGUAGUCUUAACCAUGAACUAUGCCGACUAGGAAUCAGACGAUGUUAAUUUUUUAAUGACUCGUUCGGCGCCUUACGGGAAAC